CGAAGGAUGCAAGCGUUAUCCGGAUUCAUUGGGUUUAAAGGGAGCGUAGGUGGCCUUAUAAGUCAGUGGUGAAAUCUCUCGGCUUAACCGAGAAAUUGCCAUUGAUACUGUAGGGCUUGAGUAUAGUUGCCGUUGGCGGAAUAUGACAUGUAGUGGUGAAAUACAUAGAGAUGUCAUAGAACACCGAUUGCGAAGGCAGCUGACGAAACUAUAACUGACACUGGGGCUCGAAAGUGCGGGGAUCAAACAGGAUUAGAUACCCUGGUAGUCCGCACUGUAAACGAUGAUUACUCGCUGCUAGAGGGCAACUUUUAGUGGCUUAGCGAAAGCGAUAAGUAAUCCACCUGGGGAGUACGCCGGCAACGGUG
Molecule: ribosomal RNA, 368 nt
Filed under: uncultured organism
Description: bacterial SSU rRNA
Rfam family: Bacterial small subunit ribosomal RNA
Source: RNAcentral